GAAGGGCAAGCAGAGAGGAGAUGGUAUACCAAGAAGGCAGAGCUGUUACCUUCUACUAGAGCACCUGGAAACCAAGUCCAAUGAGGUGAAAUGUGUGAUGAUGUAGAUGGAGUUCAGACCAUGCCCUGGUCACUUUGGAGCUGCCAUGAGGGCCUCCUGUGGCCCUGUCCAGAGACACUCAUUGGCAGGGAGCUUUGGAGAAGGGAGUCCUGGAGGGAUGAAUGGUACAGCAUUAUGCUCUGUAGAGGUACUAUUUUGCAUAAUUCCUACAACAGCACAUGAUAAGGUCUUUGUGGGGAAACUGAGGCUUGGGGAGGCCAAGGAGUUACCUGUAGACCCUCAGUUAGUAAAUGUUGGAAGCAAAACUCAAACCUUAAUCUACAUUGAAAAGGGUGUGGUUCAUGGGAGGUAAAGAUAUAUUUUGAGGACGCAAAAGAAAAAAGUUGAUGGAUACCAUCUCCAGAGUGAAGAGAAGGUAGGUGCCAUUUACAGGAAAAGUACGUGGAUUUCUCCAAUGAGAGCAACAGAUGCCCAUCUCUUCUUAGAAACCUAGAACCAACAGUAAGGGAGUCAUGAAGAGCUGGAGCUCAAACAAGAACUACCAUUAUGUCAAUCUGAGUGACUUCCAAGAUUAAUCUCUAUGUGUCUCGUGUUUAUUAACUUAUUUAACUUAUUUACUUUUCUUAACUUUGGUAGCAAGUGGGAUGGGGUCUUUUGUGAAUGCCAUCUCAAGGAUGGGUUCCAUUCUGUCCUUUAUUUUAUUUUAUUUUUUGACAGGCAGAGUUAGACAGUGAGAGAGAGAGACAGAAAGGUCUUCCUUCCAUUUCAUUUCCAGUUCAUUCCCCUAAUGGCCGCUACGGCCCGCACUGCACCGAUCUGAAGCCAGGAGCCGGGUGUUCCUCCCGGUCUCCCAUGUGGGUGCAGGGACCCAAGCACUUGGGCCAUCCUCCACUGCUGUCCCGGGCCACAGCAGAGAGCUGGACUGGAAGAGGAGCAACCGGGACUAGUACCCAGCACCCCAACUGGGACUAGAACCCGGGGUGCUGGCGCAGCAGGCAGAGGAUUAGCCAAGUGAGCCAUGGCGCCAGCCCCAUUCUGGCCUUAAACUUGCUCUUCCCUUCUGUUCAUUCUGCCUACCCAGACAUGCCAUACCACUAUGACAUGGUCCCCUCCUUUCUGCUUUUCCAAUUGUAACCCAUAUUUCAGGAGCAAUUUAGGGCUUAUGCGCCCAGGGCACCUCCCUAACCUCCAGCAUCUAAUGGGUGACUCUUUCUACCACCCUCAGGAACUUCUGUCUCCUGAGAGUCUGUGAUGGCUACUGUCAGAGCUGCUUGUAGCUUUACAUUCUUUUUUGCCAUCUCUCCUUCAUACUGCCAAUUUUAUGUACAAUUUUUCUGUUUUAAUUCUGCAAAGCACACCUUUAUUUUACAGUUAUGGUUUGUGGUCAACAUUUUAUAGCUUCUCAAACAUGGAUCAUUUCUAUCUAACAAUCUGAAGAAGUGACACUGUGCCCUUGGAAGAUGUUGUUUUAUUUGGGU
Non-coding RNA from Oryctolagus cuniculus (rabbit), 1538 nucleotides. NCBI's taxonomy places the organism in Eukaryota, Metazoa, Chordata, Mammalia, Lagomorpha, Leporidae. The record is from RefSeq and is a predicted model, not a curated record.